RNAcentral lists this ribosomal RNA (236 nucleotides) under uncultured bacterium. RNAcentral's name for it is "partial 16S ribosomal RNA". It matches the Rfam family "Bacterial small subunit ribosomal RNA", at positions 524 to 757 of the family's 1533-position model. The record is from RNAcentral.
UACGAAGGGGGCUAGCGUUGCUCGGAAUCACUGGGCGUAAAGGUGCGUAGGCGGGUCUUUAAGUCAGGGGUGAAAUCCUGGAGCUCAACUCCAGAACUGCCCUUUGAUACUGAAGAUCUUGAGUCCGGGGAGAGGUGAGUGGAACUGCGAGUGUAGAGGUGAAAUUCGUAGAUAUUCGCAAGAACACCAGUGGCGAAGGCGGCUCACUGGCCCGGGUACUGACGCUGAGGCACGAA